GACGAACGCUGGCGGCGUGCUUAACACAUGCAAGUCGAACGGAAAGGCCCUGCUUGCAGGGUACUCGAGUGGCGAACGGGUGAGUAACACGUGGGUGAGCUGCCCUGCACUUCGGGAGAAGCCUGGGAAACUGGGUCUAAUACCGGAUAGGAGCCAUUUUUAGUGUGAUGGUUGGAAAGUUUUUUCGGUGUAGGAUGAGCUCGCGGCCUAUCAGCUUGUUGGUGGGGUAAUGGCCUACCAAGGCGGCGACGGGUAGCCGGCCUGAGGGGGUGGACGGCCACAUUGGGACUGAGAUACGGCCCAGGCUCCUACGGGAGGCAACAGUGGGGAAUAUUGCACAAUGGGCGCGAGCCUGAUGCAGCGACGCCGCGUGGGGGAUGACGGCCUUCGGGUUGUAAACUCCUUUCGCUAGGGACGAAGCUUUUUGUGACGGUACCUAGAUAAGAAGCACCGGCUAACUACGUG
This 465-nucleotide ribosomal RNA is filed under the name uncultured bacterium. Its description in RNAcentral is "partial 16S ribosomal RNA". It matches the Rfam family "Bacterial small subunit ribosomal RNA", at positions 28 to 507 of the family's 1533-position model. The record is from RNAcentral.